UGGGGAAUUUUUGGACAAUGGGCGAAAGCCUGAUCCAGCAAUGCCGCGUGUGUGAAGAAGGCCUUCGGGUUGUAAAGCACUUUUUGUCCGGAAAGAAAUCCUCGGCUCUAAUACAGUCGGGGGAUGACGGUACCGGAAGAAUAAGCACCGGCUAACUACGUGCCAGCAGCCGCGGUAAUACGUAGGGUGCAAGCGUUAAUCGGAAUUACUGGGCGUAAAGCGUGCGCAGGCGGUUUUGCUAAGACCGAUGUGAAAUCCCCGGGCUCAACCUGGGAACUGCAUUGGUGACUGGCAGGCUAGAGUAUGGCAGAGGGGGGUAGAAUUCCACGUGUAGCAGUGAAAUGCGUAGAGAUGUGGAGGAAUACCGAUGGCGAAGGCAGCCCCCUGGGGCCAAAUACUGACGCUCAUGCACGAAAGCGUGGGGGAGCAAACAGGAUUAGAUACCCUGGUAGUCCACGCCCUAAACGAUGUCAACUAGUUGUUGGGGAUUCAUUUCCUUAGUAACGUAGCUAACGCGUGAAGUUGACCGCCUGGGGAGUACGGUCG
Molecule: ribosomal RNA, 546 nt
Filed under: uncultured bacterium
Lineage: Bacteria
Description: partial 16S ribosomal RNA
Rfam family: Bacterial small subunit ribosomal RNA
Source: RNAcentral